CAAAAACACCAUAACUAUAUGGAGUAGUAUGUAUAAAGAGUUCAUGCCCAUCCCUCCAUAUUUAAGCCUCAAACUCAUCAAAUAGUCUCCCAUAAUUCAUUCACAAAUUGAAGAGAAAAUCCAUUUGUCUAUACACAUUUAUUACACAAGCAACAAACAUCAUCUUCUUCGAAAUCAGAGGCCAUGCCUAAAUUGCUGGGAGAAUUUCUGCAGGAGCAACAAGAGCCAUUCGCUCUCGAAGUUUACCUUCUUGAACGAGGCUUUGCGCGUUGCAGCCUCAAGAAGAGACGGCGGCAAGCCAUCCCAAACUGCUCGGAAGUAGUCCGAGCAGUUUUCAGCAGAAUUCUGCUGCAUAACAAUAGAAAGAAAAUCAAGAAUCCCAGAAAAAAUGAUGACAAAAAUCAUGACGAUGAGUUCUCUUCCACAACUUUCUACAGUUCUUGCUCGGAUUUGGAAGAUGAGCUAGAGAUCAGUGGAAGAAGAUUGUGAUAAACAGCUCAGCCCAAUCUCAGUUCUUGAAGAAACAGAAUCAGAAGCCCCACCACUUCAUCCGAGUAUGUAUUAUAAUUUCUAUAAAUUUAAAUUUUUUCUAUGAAUAUUUAGUGCAAUUAUUAAUUGUUUAACCGCUAUGUUAAACCAAAGCUGACAUGGGAAGUACAUGAGUAUGUUGUUUUGUACUUUAGAAACUCAGAUUAAGUGACUUACUUGGUAGUAAACGACGUCGUUUAGUUAUUAAAUCCUACUCCCAUUUAAUAGUAUUUCAAAAUAGUGACGGAUAGAAAAAACAAUACUGGUAAGAAUUUACUAAUUUUAUACGGUAUGUUUUGGCUUCCAAAUUCAUAUACAUAUUAAAGAAUAAGGUAAAUUAUUCAGUUAAAUUUUGGUUUGUUCCAAAAACUAUUUCUGCAACCAUGUUUUCGAUUUUCGAUAAUUUCCAAAAAAAUAAAGACAAAUCAAGAGGAAAGCGCAAUAAGCAUGAAGUUGGUUUGCAAAACCAGAAUCGGGCAAACCACAGCAAAACUCCCUGAUUCCAGCUUGUGCAGGGCAAUACAAAUUCAAGAAAACAAAAGGGGAAUCCUCAAAGUCGAUUUCUCAACGCAAAUCAAAGCAUAAAAGUGCCCCAAAAUCUCAAGAAUGCAACGAACAUUCUCAUCAUCAUCACUACAGCAUAAACAAGAGGGCACUCCAGCACUCGAAGAAGCUUCUAGUCGACUGCGUGAGAGAAGUGAUGGAGAACGAAGGGGGAGGCGGGAAGCAGCUGAAGAAGAUAUUGGGAGCUGAGGAGCUUUGGAAGGCUGUGUGUGAGAAUGUGUGGCAAUGGAGCCAAGAAUCAAUACAUGAAAACAGCAUAUCUCAUGUUGUGAAAUGUGAUUUCAUGGCUUCAUUGGGAGAGUGGGGAUUUGAUUCUCAACAACACAAAGAUGAGGUUUCCAUGGAGAUUGGAGAUGCUAUUUUGGAGGAUAUUAUUAAUGAGAUUGUUACAUGCUAGUGAAUUGGUUUUAGUGUUGUUACCAACUUUUGUAGAUAUAGUAAGACGACAAAACUGGUACAUGACCUGUUGGAAAGCAACAGAGUUGUAUGAUUAUGUUUAAUAUACAAAAUAUUAAACUUGUUUAGUUAAUAUAGAAUUUUUUGAUUAAAUAUAAUUAAUUUUUCUGUA
Molecule: non-coding RNA, 1660 nt
Organism: Salvia hispanica
Lineage: Eukaryota; Viridiplantae; Streptophyta; Magnoliopsida; Lamiales; Lamiaceae
Source: RefSeq, a predicted model, not a curated record